This 64-nucleotide transfer RNA is filed under the name Mandarella flaviventris. RNAcentral's name for it is "tRNA-Trp". Lineage: Eukaryota; Metazoa; Arthropoda; Insecta; Coleoptera; Chrysomelidae. The record is from RNAcentral.
AAGGAUUUAAGUUAAGCUAAACUUUUAGCCUUCAAAGUUAAAUAUAGAUUUUGUCUAAGCCUUA